AGUACGCCUGGGACUUCGGUUCAGGGCGAUAAUGACCCCAAGCAGACUUCCUAGAAAAUUUUCUAAGCAUCAGGUAUAUACAGCCCGUACCAUAAACCGACACAGGUGGUCGAGGAGAGAAUCCUAGGCGCUCGAGUGAUCAUGGCUAAGGAACUAGGCAAAAUGGCCUCGUAACUUCGGGAGAAGGGGCGCUUCAUUUAAUAAUUGAAGCCGCAGUUAAAAGGCCCAGGCGACUGUUUAGCAAAAACACAGGACUCUGCUAAAUCGAAAGAUGAUGUAUAGGGUCUGACACCUGCCCGGUGCCGGAAGGUUAAGGAAGGGGGUUAGUGCGCAAGUGCGAAGCUCUUAACUGAAGCCCCGGUAAACGGCGGCCGUAACCAUAACGGUCCUAAGGUAGCGAAAUUCCUUGUCGGGUAAGUUCCGGCCUGCACGAAUGGUGUAACGAUCUGGGCGCUGUCUCAGCCAUGAGCUCGGUGAAAUUGAAGUAUCGGUGAAGAUGCCGGUUACCCGCAACGGGACGAAAAGACCCCGUGAACCUUUACUAUAGCUUCACAUUGUAUCUGAGUAUAGGAUGUGUAGGAUAGGUGGGAGACUAUGAAGUGGUGCCGCCAGGUGUCAUGGAGUCAUCCUUGAAAUACCACCCUUCCUAUACUUAGGUUCUAAUCCCGCCAAAGCGGGAGACAUUGUGUGGUGGGUAGUUUGACUGGGGUGGUCGCCUCCAAAAGAGUAACGGAGGCUUGCAAAGGUACCCUCAGCAUGGACGGUAAUCAUGCGAAGAGCAUAUAAGUAUAAGGGUGCUUGACUGUGAGAUUGACGGAUCGAUCGGGGACGAAAGUCGGCUUAAGUGAUCCGGUGGUUCCGCAUGGAAGGGCCAUCGCUCAAAGGAUAAAAGGUACUCCGGGGAUAACAGGCUGAUUUCCCCCAAGAGCUCAUAUCGACGGGGAAGUUUGGCACCUCGAUGUCGGCUCGUCACAUCCUGGGGCUGGAGAAGGUCCCAAGGGUUGGGCUGUUCGCCCAUUAAAGUGGCACGCGAGCUGGGUUCAGAACGUCGUAAGACAGUUCGGUCUCUAUCUGUUGUGGGCGUAGGAAUAUUGAGGAGAUCUGACACUAGUACGAGAGGACCGUGUUGGACGUACCGCUGGUGUACCAGUUGUGCCGCCAGGUGCAUUGCUGGGUAGCUAAGUACGGAAUGGAUAAGCGCUGAAAGCAUCUAAGCGCGAAGCCAACUUCAAGAUGAGUAUUCCAUAUCAGGGCCGUGGGAGAUUACCACGUAGAUAGGCUAC
This 1283-nucleotide ribosomal RNA is filed under the name metagenome. RNAcentral describes it as "bacterial LSU rRNA". It matches the Rfam family "Bacterial large subunit ribosomal RNA", at positions 1558 to 2864 of the family's 2925-position model. The record is from RNAcentral.